UCNUCCUGAUCNAAAANAUGCCGCGUGAGUUUCCCAGGCCUUAGNNUUGUAAAGCUCUUUCACCGAUGAAGAUAAUGACGGUANUNGNCCCCAGAAGCCCCGGCUAACUUCGUGCCAGCAGCCGCGGUAAUACGAAGGGGGCUAGCGUUGUUCGGAAUUACUGGGCGUAAAGCGCACGUAGGCGGAUAUUUAAGUCAGGGGUGAAAUCCCGCAGCUCAACUGCGGAACUGCCUUUGAUACUGGGUAUCUUGAGUAUGGAAGAGGUAAGUGGAAUUCCGAGUGUAUAGGUGAAAUUCGUAGAUAUUCGGAGGAACACCAGUGGCGAAAGCGGCUUACUGGUCCAUUACUGANGCUGANGUGCCGAAAGCCGUGGGGAAGCAAACNGGAAUUAGAUACCCUGGUAAUUCCANGGCCGUAAACGANGGAAUGGUUACUCCGUCCGGGGCAGUAUACUGUUUCGGUGG
RNAcentral lists this ribosomal RNA (464 nucleotides) under Candidatus Rhizobium massiliense. RNAcentral describes it as "Candidatus Rhizobium massiliae partial 16S ribosomal RNA". It matches the Rfam family "Bacterial small subunit ribosomal RNA", at positions 378 to 847 of the family's 1533-position model. Lineage: Bacteria; Pseudomonadati; Pseudomonadota; Alphaproteobacteria; Hyphomicrobiales; Rhizobiaceae. The record is from RNAcentral.